CAGUCGCCACGGUAAUACGAAGGGUGCAAGCGUUACUCGGAACUACUGGGCGUAAAGCGUGCGUAGGUGGUGGUUUAAGUCCGUUGUGAAAGCCCUGGGCUCAACCUGGGAAUUGCAGUGGAUACUGGAUCACUAGAGUGUGGUAGAGGAUGGUGGAAUUUCCGGUGUAGCAGUGAAAUGCGUAGAGAUCGGAAGGAGCAUCUGUGGCGAAGGCGACUAUCUGGGCCAACACUGACACUGAGGCACGAAAGCGUGGGGAGCAAACAGGAUUAGAUACCCCGGUAGUCCCUGUCUCUUAUAC
Molecule: ribosomal RNA, 301 nt
Filed under: uncultured bacterium
Lineage: Bacteria
Description: partial 16S ribosomal RNA
Rfam family: Bacterial small subunit ribosomal RNA
Source: RNAcentral